Long non-coding RNA from Equus asinus (donkey), 1560 nucleotides. NCBI's taxonomy places the organism in Eukaryota, Metazoa, Chordata, Mammalia, Perissodactyla, Equidae. The record is from Ensembl.
CCAAAGCGUGGGAGGCGGGGCGCUCUCCAUCACUUCCCGUCUCCCAUUGGCUGAGGGUCGCCCCAAGUGCGUUACUCCACCUCACUUCCGGGAGGCGUGGCUCUCCGUGGGCGGGAAGCGGAGGACGUCUCCAUGCACCCUCGAGGUGGAGUGUUGCCCGCCUCACGGCUUGGCUGAGGCCCCCAGCACCCUGAGGAGUGGAGGAGGUCAUCGAGAGGAUGUGACCGCCGGGGGACCCUUGAGCUGGACCCAGGCAAUGGGAGGCUCCUCGCCCCUCUGCUCUCCUUGGAUGGUGCAUUCUGCUUGCCUUCUUGGCACUAGAAGCUGCCUUGAGGACACAGCCUUGAAAUAGUAAUGUGUUGCUGAGACCAUCCAGACAGUGCACGUGACCAAACCCCAUCAAGUCCUCUAUAUAAACCUGGAAGAUCCUGGUGGGUGGAUGCAGAGACCUAUUCGUCUGGCAGCGCCCAAGACAAGCCUUGUGUGGAAGUUUCCUUGCUGGUUACACUUGCCGCCCACUGGUCUGGAGUGGGCUGCCUCUUUCUUCAGUCUCUCCUCGCCCUCUGUGUACAGGGCCAGUUUGCAAACCAACAUGAGGGCAGGGGCUGGAGUUCAGGCAUUUUGUGCCUCCCCUGUCAGUGCCAGGACCUGGGACUGAAGACAUGAUAGUGGCCAACAGGUGUCAAGUUCUCAGUAUGCGCCCGGCAUUCCACUACAGCGGCGCUGUCCCUUACGGUAGCCAUGAGCCACACGUGGCCGCUGAGUCCUUGAAACAGGUGCUGAGGGCCUGGGGAAAGGAUGGCCGCACUUUCAUAUGCUCGGAUGGAACAAAGUGCAAGCGGGAGAGCUGAGUUAAUGGGUGGAAAUCACUUUUCACGGUGUCCGGAAUGUGAUAAACACUUGGUAAAUGUGGGCUAUCAUACCUCGUGAGCAAUGAAAGCAGUUCCUGCCCGGGGUAACAGUGUUGGAUACCUGCACUGUUUUGAACGGCAGCCCCCGCAAAGGAUGUGUCCACCCUGAACCAGUGAAUGUGAACCUUAUUUGGAAAAGGAUCUUUGCAGAGGUAAUUCAAUUAAGGAUCCUGAGAGGAGAUCCUCCUGGGUUCUCUGGGUGGCCCCCAAUCCGAGUGGUGGAUUUAAAAGGGGAGAAGACACAGACAGAGGGGAGAAGAUACAGAAGAGAGGCUCAUGUGAUGAUGGACGCAGAGAUGGAGCGAUGCAGACACAUCCAAGCUAAAGAUCGCCAAAGAUGGCAGCAGCCAGCAGAUGCUAAGAGAGAAGCAGGGGACGGGUGCUCCCUCACAGUCCUCUGAAGGAACCAGCCCUGCCAACGCCUUCAUUUUGGACUUCUAGCCUCCAGAACUGGGAGAGAAUAAAGUUCUGUUGUUUUCAGCUGCCCGGUUUCUGAUAAUUUGUUACCGCAGCCACAGGAAACUAACAAAAUACCCCAUUUGGAUGGUGUACUUUUCCUUUCAAAUAAAUCUCACUUGUUGCUCAGCCUGGGGUGUUUUGCUCAGUGUCACUCACUGUCCUACAGGGGUAGAUGUGUGUUUAACUUUAU